Molecule: long non-coding RNA, 445 nt
Filed under: Glycine max (soybean)
Lineage: Eukaryota; Viridiplantae; Streptophyta; Magnoliopsida; Fabales; Fabaceae
Description: long non-coding RNA (GMAX_LNC001414)
Source: RNAcentral
UUUUUUUGUGAGGGGUCUAAAUCAUCAUUUCAUCUUUUUAUCAUCGUAGAGAAACCCAUGCCCCAUUACAAUUACAACCAUGACCCACAUUAACGACGGAGAAGCCAAAAAAACUGAGUUGAGGGAUUGGCCGACAAACUUUGGAAUUAACAACUGGCUCUGGCUUGGUUAGGCCAUAGGUCUCCCCUAAGAGUCACAGUCUUUGCGAGGCCAUCAUGCUCUCCAGGCACAAAAUGGUUGUUGGCUAUAACCUUUAUUGCUUUCAAGUGUUUCUCUCAGUAGGAACCUGUACACUACAGUGCGUUUCGCUGUCAAGCAAAGAGAUGGUUCUAUUGGCAAAAGAUGAACAUAAUUAACUAGCUAAAGUGACUUAUUAGGGCACCAGGGAUGAAAUUAAGAGAGUUAAUCACGGUAGGUGCAAGUGGGGUCACGGGGUAAUGUACAG